Molecule: long non-coding RNA, 1057 nt
Organism: Sapajus apella (tufted capuchin)
Lineage: Eukaryota; Metazoa; Chordata; Mammalia; Primates; Cebidae
Exons: 2
Source: RefSeq, a predicted model, not a curated record
AUGAGCCACCGCGUCCGGCCAUUAGUCCAUUUUCAUGCUGCUGAUAAAGACAUACCCAAGACUGGAGAGAAAAAGAGGUUUAAUGGGCUUAAAGUUCUACACGGCUGGAAGGGCCUCACUAUCAUGGCAGAAGGCAAGGAGGAGCAAGUCAUGCCUUACAUGGAUGGUGAUAGGCAAAGAGAGCCUUUGCAGGGAAACUCCUGUUUUUAAAACUAUCAGAUCUCUUGAGACUCGAUCAGUAUCAGGAGAACAGUGCAGGAAGGACCCACCCCCAUAAUGCUAUCACCUCCCACCAGGUCCCUCCUACAACACAUGGGAACUGUGGUAGUUACAAAUCAAGAUGAGACUUGGGUGGGGGCACAGCCAAACCGUAUCACUGUUUUAUGUCAUUUGGACUCAGUGUGUGAUGAACCAAAUAUAUGGAUUUAGGUAUUUGGGAAGAUGAGAAGGAAAAUCAUACUUUCUCAAAAAACCUUAGGCUUAUAUCUUAAGGAGUUUUGGAUUUGUUUUACUAUUUUUAUUCUUGUAAUAUGAGAUUUAUGUUAUAGAGAGCUCAUAGACAACCACCCUGCCUAAAAUAAACAAUUGCCAGAAUGGAUCUUUUAGGAAUUCUUGAAACUUAUCUGAGUUCAGGAGAUAAAGUCAGAGUCUUGAGAAUGGAGAUAAUUCAGUGGAAGAGAGAACUUGCAGGAGAAAGUUUCUCAGCUCUGUUUUCUCGCAUUCACUUCUAGAGGACCUUGAAGGUUUCUGACAUCCCCUGGGUGUGUUAGGCACUUUCCUCACCCUUAAGAAUGCAGAAUUCAGUAUAAAAACAAUUAUUCCUAAAUUGUGUUGUCAAUGCCUGACAUUUACAUGCAUAGAAUUUGGACCUCUCCCAGGGUGCAGGUCUUCACUGUGAAUAAGGCAGCGCUCUAACCUCAGGCAGAGUAAGAUUUUCAAACCAAGCAGGCUGCUGCAGUCUGAAGGACCUAAAAAUACCUUUUUCAGGGAUCUGCAUCUUCAGAUGGUAAUCAAACUUUUAGUAAGGGGAUUUUUUUGGUUUUUUUGGCAAAAAAAA